UUUCCGUAGGUGAACCUGCGGAAGGAUCAUUCAUAAUAAAGGGUUUUAUGGCACUUUUUAAAAAUCCAUAUCCACCUUGUGUGCAAUGUUAGAUCUCGUCAAUCUUGGCGAGAUUUUUAUACAUCAACUCAUUCUUUAACUAAUUUGUCUGAAAAAUAUUAUGAAUACUUAAUUCAAAAUACAACUUUCAACAACGGAUCUCUUGGCUCUC
Molecule: unclassified non-coding RNA, 211 nt
Filed under: plant metagenome
Description: partial contains small subunit ribosomal RNA, internal transcribed spacer 1, and 5.8S ribosomal RNA
Source: RNAcentral